UCAAGAAAUGAACGGAUGUGACUGUUAGGAUAGUUGGGGACAUUUAAACCGGCAUUUGUAAUAUUCGUAAGCAUGUUGCCUUUACAUCAGGGUGACAAGGAGUACGCUGCUGGGUCGAAGAUCAAGCAAAAAGCAGCAGGAUGGCUGAGAUUGAUAUUCUCAGACCAGACUUCAAGAAAUCUGUUCUUUUUUAUGUUGUUGAAUCUCUCAUUUGCUUUUGUUGAACUUACAUAUGGAAUUUGGACGAACAGUUUGGGCCUCAUAUCUGAUUCCUUCCACAUGUUUUUUGACUGUACAGCCCUGCUUGCUGGCCUAGCCGCCUCAGUCAUAUCUAGAUGGCGAGCCACAGAAGCUUAUUCCUAUGGGUAUGUUCGUGCUGAAAUAGUAGCUGGGUUUGUGAAUGGACUUUUCUUACUUUUCAUUGGAUUUUUCAUCUUUUCGGAAGCUGUAGAGAGGUUGGCUGAGCCCCCAGAAGUGAAACAUGAACGACUCUUCCUGGUGUCAGUGGCUGGAUUCAUUGUCAAUCUUAUAGGAAUUUUCGCUUUUCAACAUGGACACGGCCAUUCUCAUGGUGGUGGAGGAGAUCAUGGUCACUCUCAUGGUGGACAUGGACACAGUCAUGGCUUGGGAAUGGAGUCUCACAGUGAUCAAGACAACCACGGUCACAGUCACGAUGGAGGUCAUGCUCAUGGCGAAUUAGAUUCCUCAAAAAAAGCAGCACAAUCUCAAAUCAUGCAAGGUGUAUUUUUACAUAUAUUAGCAGAUACACUAGGCAGUGUGGGAGUCAUUAUCUCCUCUGGGUUGAUACACUAUUUUGGAUGGAUGCAGGCAGAUCCUAUAUGUUCUUUAUUCAUAGCUAUUUUAAUUACAAUAAGUGUUUUGCCAUUACUUAGAGAUUCUGUCGGUAUUCUCAUGCAGAGAACACCCAGAUCAUUGGAGUCACAACUACCAUCAUGUUAUAAUAGAGUGAGUCAGUUAGAGGGAGUCUACAGUGUCCAGGAGCCUCACUUUUGGACGUUGUGCAGUGACGUCUACGUCGGAACAAUAAAGUUGGAAGUAUCAUCUAAAGCCGAUGCCAAAUAUAUUUUAAGCCAUACACAUAAUUUAUUUACACAGAUUGGAGUAAGACAGUUGUAUGUACAGAUUGAUUAUUCUGCCAUGUAGGUGUCAAGUACCAAGUGACCUUCAUCUCUAUAAACUCAUAUGACCUCUGACCCUGAGCAUCAACUCAUAUGACCUCUAACCCUGAGCAUCAAUAUAAGUUUCAUUUUAGUAUGCUGAUUCAUCAUGUGCAGUGUAAAUGAAUGUGUAAGUGGGAGUGUGAAAAAUGCUGGCAUCAAAAAGGACAACAUAAAUUCAUUAUAAACUGUAUUUGGAAGAAUGCAGUAUUUCCUAUGCCAGAUUAUCAUCAAGAUUUUUGGACUUAUGAUAAAGAUUCAUCUAUAUGCCUUGCCUGGUAAACAAUGUUGAAUUUACCCGACACAAUUCCUGUUAGUCAGAUGUAUCACCAACUUAAUACAUUUGUACUGCUCUUUGACUUAUACAUCAUAGUGUAUAAUCUUGAUUCCAAAUUAAUGAUAUGCUAAUUCAGUUUAAACAAAAAAUAAUCUUUGUUGGACUUAGUUUAAUGUCUGAUUUUAGCGAUUUUUAUAACAUUCUACAAUUUAAAAGAAACUUGUUUUUUAAGUCAAUUCUUUUGUGGUAAAUUUGUGUCAAAAUUUUCACUGACAAAUUUCACAAUUUACAAAGGGCAUGCGAGGGUUUAUGUACGUGACAAUAGCAAAUUAAACAACAUUAAAAUUCAUACUAAGGUCUAGAUUGUUUCAUGAUCAUUGUGGUUUCAUAUUUUGGCCUGAUGUAAUGGUCAAAUAAUUUCAUCUCUUGGAUAAGUUCAAUUAUUUUUCUAUAAUAUGAGCUGAUUUUUCUGUUAUCAUUUGUUAAGUGUUGCUCUGUGUUACUGAUUCUAACAAUCUUUUAAAUCUUUUGUUGUGAAAAGGAUUUGUAUUUUGUUUUGUACAUUGGUGAAAUAUUGGUUACAAUCCAAAAUAAAGCUGGAUUUUCUUAUGAUGAUUCCUCAGUGAGGUGGAAAAAUGUAACUUUCAAGCAACAAGUAUUAGGAUCAACUUUCAAAAAAUCAUGGGCAUUGAGCAGUUUUAUUCCUGUGUCUGACGAAAACCACUGUCAAUCUAAAAAACUCUGCUAAAAAUUAAAAGGAUAGAUUUUUUUGCAUCUCAAAAAAGUUAUAUCAGGAUCAUUUAAGUUAACAGCAAAUAAGCGAAAAGAUUAUAUUUGUGAUGUUAAUAUUAUUGAAACUGAAAACAAGUUUUUUUUUGUCCUUAGAUUCAUAUUCUGCAUGUUAAUACAAGUGGGAAUGAAUUUGAGAAGUUUGCUUUACCGGUAAGUUUAAUUGAACUACCCUAAUAUGAUGAAGUUUGGUACUACUGGAUCCCAGUCUGUAGAUAAAUCCACUAUAUUAUUAAUUAGGUGUAUAAUUGAGGUAAAAACAUCACCUGUACUAUCAAUACAUGUAUAGACCCUGCUACUAAGUUACUGGACAGUACUCAUUAAAAGGACAUGGGUGGUAUUGGAUGUUUUUUGGGUUUUUUUAAUACAAUGUAUGUUGGCAAAAUGUUUUCUGCUUUGAACAGCCUAAGACAGAAUGUUUGGUUACUGUACGAUAAAAGGAGGGUGUAGAAUGCUUUGGAUUUCUCCUUGCAUAUGUGGAAUGUAAACCAAAGAAUUAAUUUAUUUAUUUGAGGUAUUUAAUACAUGUAGUUAUUGUUAAAAUGUGAUAAAUCUGAUGCAUUCCAUCAAUGAAAUUGAGCAAAAGUAAGGGAUCAAAUGAAAGACAUGAUUUUAGGAAUUAUGAAUAAAAUUUUGAUAUGUACAUAAGUGAAUCUAAUUUAGAAAAUAUGGAUUACAUGUCAUUGUAGUAUUGUUUAAAAGAAAAAAAGAAAAAAAAACAUGCCCAUGAUGUGGUUGGUUGAUAUGUUUAGUGUUCUGUGUAUCUAGUAACUUAGAUACUACUGGCAGGUAAUCUGUUUGUUGAUGACAAGUCAAUUCUAUUGGUUGUACGAUUGUUAAGAAAAUUACAUUAUGAACAUCUAUUAUAUGUAUACAUAGAUGAAGCUAAAUGGGAAGAAAAAAUUAGUGGCAUCUAUCAAUGCUGUAUGAUGUAGAUGGAGAAAUCUUAGCCCAGUUUAUCUUUCUUGGUCUACAACAAGCUGAGGUAAUUAUUUUCGUCGAAUCAGAAGUAAAAUGCAGCAUUUACUUUGUGUUCCUGACAUUAAAACUUGAUGAUCUAUGAUUGUUACUCUACAGUGCAUGCCAGCUGUCGGGAAUUAAGGGCUAGACAGGGAUUUUUCACCGUCAAAAUAGAGACUACAUAGUUAGUUUCUUUAAAUACAAGGUGUAUUUAGGCAAUGUUAAGAAGUGACUAAGAUGGUGAUAUUUUUAUGUAACAGAAAUGCUGAUGUUAGGUGCCAAUCAACCUCUAUAAUGAAUAGACUCGGAUUAGACAUUUAAGAAUAUUUCCCCAGGGUUGAUAUUUUUUUGUCUUACGCCAAAGGUGGGGAGAGAUUUUCUUCAUCAUUUCCUGGAUGUUGAAGAAGGGCUUUGCUGUGUAUCCUAGUGUAAACGACUUAUCGGUUUACAUAGAGUGAAAUAUACAGAAUUUCAGGAAACAUCAGAAUUUUGUGUCAUUAGAUAUUCAAAAUGAUGUUCUAUCUAUAAAAAAAGAAGCAUUUUCAGAGAACUUGUUGGUAGGGCUGUAUUACAGCUGUAGUUUAUUUUAUUAGUUCCUACCCUCACACGUCCAGUGCUACUUUCAGGACCUUUAAUGGCUGCCUGAUAGAUAACGAAUAUUUCACUAGUAUGGCUGAAUAAGGAUCCUGCACGUGCAGUAGAGAUAUAAUCCAGACACCAACAUCCUAGAGACUGCAUUUCCAGAUGUUGGGAAACUCUAUAGGGAUCCACAAACUUCAUUCUAACUUUGUCUUUGAAAAACUGUCCUGACUAACAGGGAUCCACUGUACUAGAAGCCAUAACCUGUACAGUUAGACUUACCCUGCAAGUCGUCGUGGUCAGGGUACAGUUUUAACACGGUUUGUUACUUUAUUUGUUAAUAUUUGGUAUAAACAAAAAGACAGUUUUCAUUGUUUAUUGACCAAAACUGUUCCUAAACUGACAAACACCGAGCACAUUUUUGUUUUGCUGUAAUAUUAUUUUAGAUGUAUUACUGUACUGUAUUAUAAUUAAGAUUUCAUAGCAAGGUAUUAGGUACCCCUGUGGACUUUAUUCAUGUUCAUUUCAAAUGCAAUAUCUGACAGGUGCCAGUGUGUAAUUUUACCAUGUAACUGCCACCAUAGGAUCACCUGGUUUGUCUGGGCUGUGUGUAACAACAUUUGUGUAACUUGUGGAGCAGCUGUUCGUUGUUAUGGUAUGAGAAAGGUAUUUGAUGCAAAGCAAAUUCUGUGAUUAUGGUAUUUGUUACUUUGGCUGCAAAAGUCUCACUUUUUCUUUUAUUCCUUGUGAAUUUUGAAUUGUCUUUUACCUAAAGGAUUUUUUUCUUUGUGUACUUUUUUUUAGAUAACUAUUUUUUUUCUUAAAUCAGAAGUUUUAGUAAAACAAUCAAAAUCGUGUGGGUAGUACACUUUGUACAACUACGUGAACUUUUCAUUUGAUUGUAUAGUCUGUAAUUGUUACAUGCAGAGUGUGUGUUUGUUGUCAGUCAGACAUAAAUCACAUAUGUCAUUCAAUGAACUAUUUUCUCCGAGAGACAACAUUUCAAGCGAGGUCAUGGUCUGUUCAAACUUUCAUUGAACCAAAAUUUUUGUCACAUAAGAACUGCCAAUGGAAGGAAUGUCUUGUACAGGUAUUUCGACACUUGCCACUGAGCUUCCUGAAUGUGCAUUGCUUCACAAAAUCAUAAAAGUAGCUGUGCAAUAUGAUUUGGUUUAAAUCUAUUCAGUAUAACAUUGUUAUUGUUUUUGUUUGAUAUUUUUAACUGCCACCAUUUCAAGUUGUCAAACAGACUAUGCAACUAAUGCAUAGACUAUUAGUCAUAACUGACAAUUUCUAAUAUGUACUGUACAAUGUACAUAUGUGUGACAUGUGCUGUACACUGAACAUGUGGAAUAUAUUCUGUACAAUGUACAUAUGUGUGGCAUGUGCUGUACACUGACCAUUUUUAAUAUGUACUGUACAAUGUACAUAUGUGUGGCAUGUGCUGUACACUUACCAUUUCUAAUAUGUACUGUACAAUGUACAUAUGUGUGACAUGUGCUGUACACUGACCAUUUGUAAUAUAUUCUGUACAAUGUACAUAUGUGUGACAUGUGCUGUACACUGACCAUUUCUAAUAUAUUCUGUACAAUGUACAUAUGUGUGACAUGUGCUGUACACUGACCAUUUCUAAUAUGUAAUGUACAAUGUACAUAUGUGUGACAUGUGCUGUACACUGACCAUUUCUAAUAUGUAAUGUACAAUGUACAUAUGUGUGACAUGUGCUGUACACUGACCAUUUCUAAUAUAUUAUGUACAAUGUACAUAUGUGUGACAUGUGCUGUACACUGACCAUUUCUAAUAUAUUCUGUACA
RNAcentral lists this unclassified non-coding RNA (5597 nucleotides) under Mizuhopecten yessoensis (Yesso scallop). RNAcentral's name for it is "zinc transporter 7-like, transcript variant X1". Lineage: Eukaryota; Metazoa; Mollusca; Bivalvia; Pectinida; Pectinidae. The record is from RNAcentral.